Molecule: ribosomal RNA, 467 nt
Filed under: uncultured bacterium
Lineage: Bacteria
Description: partial 16S ribosomal RNA
Rfam family: Bacterial small subunit ribosomal RNA
Source: RNAcentral
GACGAACGCUGGCGGCGUGCUUAACACAUGCAAGUCGAACGGAAAGGCCCUGCUUUUGUGGGGUGCUCGAGUGGCGAACGGGUGAGUAACACGUGAGUAACCUGCCCUUGACUUUGGGAUAACUUCAGGAAACUGGGGCUAAUACCGGAUAGGAGCUCCUGCUGCAUGGUGGGGGUUGGAAAGUUUCGGCGGUUGGGGAUGGACUCGCGGCUUAUCAGCUUGUUGGUGGGGUAGUGGCUUACCAAGGCUUUGACGGGUAGUCGGCCUGAGAGGGUGACCGGCCACAUUGGGACUGAGAUACGGCCCAGACUCCUACGGGAGGCAGCAGUGGGGAAUAUUGCACAAUGGGCGGAAGCCUGAUGCAGCAACGCCGCGUGCGGGAUGACGGCCUUCGGGUUGUAAACCGCUUUCGCCUGUGACGAAGUGUGAGUGACGGUAAUGGGUAAAGAAGCACCGGCUAACUACGU